UAGGGAAUCUUCGGCAAUGGGGGGAACCCUGACCGAGCAACGCCGCGUGAGUGAAGAAGGUUUUCGGAUCGUAAAGCUCUGUUGUUAAGGAAGAACGAGUGUGAGAAUGGAAAGUUCAUACUGUGACGGUACUUAACCAGAAAGGGACGGCUAACUACGUGCCAGCAGCCGCGGUAAUACGUAGGUCCCGAGCGUUGUCCGGAUUUAUUGGGCGUAAAGCGAGCGCAGGCGGUUAGAUAAGUCUGAAGUUAAAGGCAGUGGCUCAACCAUUGUAGGCUUUGGAAACUGUUUAACUUGAGUGCAGAAGGGGAGAGUGGAAUUCCAUGUGUAGUGGUGAAAUGCGUAGAUAUAUGGAGGAACACCGGUGGCGAAAGCGGCUCUCUGGUCUGUAACUGACGCGGAGGCUCGAAAGCGUGGGGAGCGAACAGG
Molecule: ribosomal RNA, 429 nt
Filed under: Bacteroidota bacterium
Lineage: Bacteria; Pseudomonadati; Bacteroidota
Description: Bacteroidetes bacterium partial 16S ribosomal RNA
Rfam family: Bacterial small subunit ribosomal RNA
Source: RNAcentral